This 759-nucleotide ribosomal RNA is filed under the name uncultured bacterium. Its description in RNAcentral is "bacterial SSU rRNA". It matches the Rfam family "Bacterial small subunit ribosomal RNA", at positions 28 to 776 of the family's 1533-position model. The record is from RNAcentral.
AUUGAACGCUGGCGGCAGGCCUAACACAUGCAAGUCGAGCGGUAACAGAGAGUAGCUUGCUACUCUGCUGACGAGCGGCGGACGGGUGAGUAAUGCUUGGGAAUAUGCCUUAUGGUGGGGGACAACAGUUGGAAACGACUGCUAAUACCGCAUGAUGUCUACGGACCAAAGUGGGGGACCUUCGGGCCUCACGCCAUAAGAUUAGCCCAAGUGGGAUUAGCUAGUUGGUGAGGUAAUGGCUCACCAAGGCGACGAUCCCUAGCUGGUUUGAGAGGAUGAUCAGCCACACUGGGACUGAGGCACGGCCCAGACUCCUACGGGAGGCAGCAGUGGGGAAUAUUGCACAAUGGGCGCAAGCCUGAUGCAGCCAUGCCGCGUGUGUGAAGAAGGCCUUCGGGUUGUAAAGCACUUUCAGUAAGGAGGAAAGGUUAAGUGUUAAUAGCACUUAGCUGUGACGUUACUUACAGAAGAAGCACCGGCUAACUCCGUGCCAGCAGCCGCGGUAAUACGGAGGGUGCGAGCGUUAAUCGGAAUUACUGGGCGUAAAGCGUACGCAGGCGGUUUGUUAAGCGAGAUGUGAAAGCCCCGGGCUCAACCUGGGAACUGCAUUUCGAACUGGCAAACUAGAGUGUGAUAGAGGGUGGUAGAAUUUCAGGUGUAGCGGUGAAAUGCGUAGAGAUCUGAAGGAAUACCGAUGGCGAAGGCAGCCACCUGGGUCAACACUGACGCUCAUGUACGAAAGCGUGGGGAGCAAACAGG